GAUGAAGAACGUAGCGAAAUGCGAUACGUAAUGUGAAUUGCAAAUUCAGUGAAUCAUCGAGUCUUUGAACGCACAUUGCGCCCCCUGGUAUUCCGGGGGGCAUGCCUGUCCGUGCGUCAUUGCUGCCCUCAAGCACGGCUUGUGUGUUGGGCCCCGUCCUCCGAUCCCGGGGGACGGGCCCGAAAGGCAGCGGCGGCACCGCGUCCGGUCCUCGAGCGUAUGGGGCUUUGUCACCCGCUCUGUAGGCCCGGCCGGCGCUUGCCGAUCAACCCAAAUUUUUAUCCAGGUUGACCUCGGAUCAGGUAGGGAUACCCGCUGAACUUAAGCAUAUCAAUAAGCGGAGGA
Molecule: unclassified non-coding RNA, 345 nt
Filed under: soil metagenome
Description: partial contains 5.8S ribosomal RNA, internal transcribed spacer 2, and large subunit ribosomal RNA
Rfam family: 5.8S ribosomal RNA (bases 1-119)
Source: RNAcentral